CACAGAGACUGCAAGCGUUAUUCGGAUUCACUGGGCGUAAAGGGUGCGCAGGCGGCCGGGUGUGUGAGGCGUGAAAGCCCGAUGCUUAACAUCGGAAUUGCACCUUAAACUACACGGCUAGAGCAUUGGAGAGGGUAGCGGAAUUCACGGUGUAGCAGUGAAAUGCGUAGAUAUCGUGAGGAACACCAGAGGCGAAGGCGGCUACCUGGACAAUUGCUGACGCUCAGGCACGAAAGCGUGGGGAGCAAAAGGG
RNAcentral lists this ribosomal RNA (253 nucleotides) under uncultured bacterium. RNAcentral's name for it is "partial 16S ribosomal RNA". It matches the Rfam family "Bacterial small subunit ribosomal RNA", at positions 524 to 776 of the family's 1533-position model. The record is from RNAcentral.